This 269-nucleotide ribosomal RNA is filed under the name unidentified marine bacterioplankton. RNAcentral's name for it is "partial 16S ribosomal RNA". It matches the Rfam family "Bacterial small subunit ribosomal RNA", at positions 76 to 339 of the family's 1533-position model. RNAcentral also lists the same sequence under 1 other name. The record is from RNAcentral.
UCCUUCGGGACUUCAAUAAAGUGGCGCAAGGGUGAGUAACACGUGAAUAAUCUGCCUCAGAACCUGGGAUAACUCGGCGAAAGUUGAGCUAAUACUGGAUAAGACCACGUUUCAUAAGAGAUGCGGUAAAAGGAGCCUCAAGCUUCAUUUUGAGAUGAGUUCGCGUACCAUUAGCUAGUUGGCGGGAUAACAGCCCACCAAGGCUACGAUGGUUAGCCGGCCUGAGAGGGUGAUCGGCCACACUGGAACUGAGACACGGUCCAGACUCC